RNAcentral lists this non-coding RNA (1322 nucleotides) under Asticcacaulis benevestitus DSM 16100 = ATCC BAA-896. RNAcentral describes it as "Bacterial large subunit ribosomal RNA". It matches the Rfam family "Bacterial large subunit ribosomal RNA", at positions 1628 to 2925 of the family's 2925-position model. Lineage: Bacteria; Pseudomonadati; Pseudomonadota; Alphaproteobacteria; Caulobacterales; Caulobacteraceae. The record is from Rfam by way of RNAcentral.
CAGGUAACAUUAAAUCGUACCCCAAACCGACACAGGUGGUCAGGUAGAGAAUACCAAGGCGCUUGAGAGAACUCGGGUGAAGGAACUAGGCAAAAUGGUGCCGUAACUUCGGGAGAAGGCACGCUGGCAUGUAGGUGAAGUCCCUUGCGGAUGGAGCUGAAGCCAGUCGAAGAUACCAGCUGGCUGCAACUGUUUAAUAAAAACACAGCACUGUGCAAACACGAAAGUGGACGUAUACGGUGUGACGCCUGCCCGGUGCUGGAAGGUUAAUUGAUGGGGUCAGCCGCAAGGCGAAGCUCUUGAUCGAAGCCCCAGUAAACGGCGGCCGUAACUAUAACGGUCCUAAGGUAGCGAAAUUCCUUGUCGGGUAAGUUCCGACCUGCACGAAUGGCGUAAUGAUGGCCAGGCUGUCUCCACCCGAGACUCAGUGAAAUUGAACUCGCUGUGAAGAUGCAGUGUACCCGCGGCAAGACGGAAAGACCCCGUGAACCUUUACUAUAGCUUGACACUGAACAUUGAGCCUUGAUGUGUAGGAUAGGUGGGAGGCUUUGAAGCGUGGACGCCAGUCUGCGUGGAGCCAUCCUUGAAAUACCACCCUUUAAUGUUUGAUGUUCUAACUCGGCCCCAUAAUCUGGGGUGAGGACAGUGUCUGGUGGGUAGUUUGACUGGGGCGGUCUCCUCCCAAAGAGUAACGGAGGAGCACGAAGGUUAGCUAAUCACGGUCGGACAUCGUGAGGUUAGUGCAAAGGCAUAAGCUAGCUUGACUGCGAGAGUGACGGCUCGAGCAGGUACGAAAGUAGGUCUUAGUGAUCCGGUGGUUCUGAAUGGAAGGGCCAUCGCUCAACGGAUAAAAGGUACUCCGGGGAUAACAGGCUGAUACCGCCCAAGAGUUCAUAUCGACGGCGGUGUUUGGCACCUCGAUGUCGGCUCAUCACAUCCUGGGGCUGAAGUAGGUCCCAAGGGUAUGGCUGUUCGCCAUUUAAAGUGGUACGCGAGCUGGGUUUAGAACGUCGUGAGACAGUUCGGUCCCUAUCUGCCGUGGGCGUUGGAAGAUUGAGAGGGGUUGCUCCUAGUACGAGAGGACCGGAGUGAACGCACCACUGGUGUUCGGGUUGUCAUGCCAAUGGCAUUGCCCGGUAGCUAAGUGCGGAAAAGAUAAGCGCUGAAAGCAUCUAAGCGCGAAACUUGCCUCAAGAUGAGUCUUCCCUGGGCCUUCAAGGCCCCUGAAGGAACGUUUAAGACUAAGACGUUGAUAGGCUGGGUGUGUAAGUGCAGCGAUGCAUUGAGCUAACCAGUACUAAUGAUCCGUGAGGCUUAACCUU